GGUGUCCGCUAUCUUGUAGGGUCCUUCCCAGUUCGGAGACAAUUUCCCUUGGUCCAGAGGCUUCGAAACCUCCGUCUUCCUUAAGACCAGGUCCUCGGGCCCGAAAAACUUCGGCUUAACCUUAGCAUUGUAGUAUCGGGCCACUCUUUGUCAGUAGGAAGCCAUGCAGAGUUGAGCCUUGUGUCGGAGUUCGGAUAGGAGGUCCAAGUCGGCUCUCCAACACUCGGAGUUGUCCGGCUCGCAGUACUACUCAACUAU
RNAcentral lists this long non-coding RNA (258 nucleotides) under Elaeis guineensis (African oil palm). Its description in RNAcentral is "long non-coding RNA (EGUI_LNC077923)". Lineage: Eukaryota; Viridiplantae; Streptophyta; Magnoliopsida; Arecales; Arecaceae. The record is from RNAcentral.